UGCGGAGUGGACAAGUGGUUAAGUCGCCAGUGUCAUGAGCUGGAGAACUGGGGUUCGAAUCCCCACUCCGCUACCA
This 76-nucleotide transfer RNA is filed under the name subsurface metagenome. RNAcentral's name for it is "tRNA-Met". It matches the Rfam family "tRNA". From Rfam's summary of the family: Transfer RNA (tRNA) molecules are approximately 80 nucleotides in length. Their secondary structure includes four short double-helical elements and three loops (D, anti-codon, and T loops). The record is from RNAcentral.